This 702-nucleotide ribosomal RNA is filed under the name Cyanodermella oleoligni. RNAcentral's name for it is "eukaryotic LSU rRNA". The stretch from base 246 to 398 matches the Rfam family "5.8S ribosomal RNA". The record is from RNAcentral. Lineage: Eukaryota; Fungi; Ascomycota; Lecanoromycetes; Ostropales; Stictidaceae.
CAAACUUGGUCAUUUAGAGGAAGUAAAAGUCGUAACAAGGUUUCCGUAGGUGAACCUGCGGAAGGAUCAUUAAUAAUUGGCUGGGUGCCUAGCACCCGCAAGCCUCCACCCAAUGAAUACCUACCAAGUUGCUUUGACGGGCCGCGGGGCUCGCCCCCCCGGCGGCUUCGGCUGCCGCGCGCCCGUCAGAGGUCAAUCAAACUCUGCUUAACCGUGAAGUCUGAUACAACAAACAAAUAAGCUAAAACUUUCAACAACGGAUCUCUUGGUUCUGGCAUCGAUGAAGAACGCAGCGAAAUGCGAUAAGUAAUGUGAAUUGCAGAAAUCGUGAAUCAUUGAAUCUUUGAACGCACAUUGCGCCCUCUGGUAUUCCGGGGGGCAUGCCUGUUCGAGCGUCAUUUCAACCUCAAGCUCUGCUUGGUAUUGGUGGCUCGCCCCUCACCGGGCGUCCCCGAAAAUCAGCGGCGUCGCCGCCGGGCCCUGGGCGUAGUAACAUUCUUCCGCUCGUAGGUUCCCGGGGGUUGGGCAGCCGGACAACCACCCAUAUCUUUCUAUGGUUGACCUCGGAUCAGGUAGGGAUACCCGCUGAACUUAAGCAUAUUAAUAAGCGGAGGAAAAGAAACCAACAGGGAUUGCCCUAGUAACGGCGAGUGAAGCGGCAACAGCUCAAAUUUGAAAGCCGGCUUUCGGGCCCGCAUUGUA